UUGUUCUCAUUGGUUGUACUCUCCGGCAAGGUGUUGGCUUUCUCAGCAUAUUCCUCAAAGUCCUCCUGCAUAAACCAACUAGGUGAUGACGUUAACAAGGAUGACACUAAAAGUACACAUCAACUUCCUCAAAGCUCUAUAAAAGCACACAAGAAGAGAACAACUAACAAGUCCGCAAAGUUAGUAAAAGAAGUACGAAAACCAACAUGUGUUAAAUAAAGUAAAACGUUUACUAUGCUGUCAGCCUGUCACCACAAAAAAGAAAAAAGAAGAAGAUAAAAUGCGCAUGAUAUUCUGAAGAAGAAUGGUAUUUUAGGCAACACACGGAGCAGAGAUGCCUGUGCAGAUGCUAGACGGCUCUGAUCGAUUGUCAAUCCAUCCUGCAAAAGUCGAAGGAAAGAGCAGAGGCGGAGACGAGAAGAUUGAAACGAUCAUUCAGUUUGAAUAGUCAGCGUCCUGCUUUGACCCGACAUCAGCGAAGUUCUUGGAACGUUUGUGUUGACUGGUCGAGAGAGUUGACCCCAGAAAUUUAUGCAUUCUUGAGGAGGAAACUAGGGAGUGCUUUCCCUAGUUUGCAAGGGCAAUUAGAACUUUGAAAUAAUUAUAAAAAGAACAAAGAAUUGAUCAGAUCGAUUGUGAGUGAUUGCUUUUGUUGGUGGCGUGACGUGAUAAUUCACUUGGACCUCCGAGAAGAAAAAAUAUUUUAAAAUAUAUUUAUUAGAAACUUCUCAUUACUAUUCGAAAUCUCGUAUUUUCUUUCUCCACUUGUUUUGCUGUUGAGAAUGAGUCUCGCGUAGCCAGUGUUUCGGCUCUAGCUAUUGGCCUAGAUUGAUCUGCACCGGAUGAGAUCAGUUCACAAAAGAUCCGUUCUUUGAAUUUUUGCCGCUCUAUACUCAUUGGGACCUUGGAGAUUACCUGGUUCAUCGUCUAGCAUAAUAAUAUCCAAGUGAUGAUAUAAUUGUUAAUGAUCUCGGAGCAAUUAUAAAUUCAUUAGGCAGGGUUUCUCCGUGAUUCCUAGAAAAUUUAUUUGCGAUUUCUAGAACGUUUUGCCACAUUUUCAUCCAUUCAAAGACGUCAGAUUUUUGUAAGCAUCUGUAGACAUAAUUAGGCGCGUGAUUGAUUAAGCAGUCAUUAAUAUUUUUAAAUGUUAAUUUAUGGUGGGAUUAGGAACAGGAAGACGUGUGAGGAAGCUGCUUCGAAUAGGUCAACCUGCUUCACCUUCGACCCACUUGAAUUUGAACACUCAAAAAGUUAUCCCUUGGACUUUGCCAUAAGAUAAUGCAAACAUAGAAUUGAUUAUAUAGCUUGACCAUAAGAUGAUGUGAACAUCCAAAGUUUGGAACCUUCUUAGGACUUGCCAUUACUAGGAGCCGAGGGAAUGAAAACGACGUCGUCACGUGUGCGAAAAAUGAAUAUUGCUUGUAUGCAAAAUUGAGUAAAUAAUGAUCCUUGUUUGUACUCCACUAAUCAGAGUCUCAAUCAAAAGAGAUCUCCUAUAAUGAGAUGGAGGAAAACACGCUAAAGAAAGAAGUAUUCUUAGGCAUGAGCCGUGAGAGAGAACUAUUACUUGUUUUUUGGUCUAAAGAGAGACCAAUUACUUGACAUGCUUUUUUUCAUUGUAAAUAUUUCUUAAAUUUUCAUUCCAUGAAACAAGAUAUAUCUAUAAUAUAUUAUCGGGACAUCAUAUAGAAAGACAGUGAAAUUAGCCUCUAUACUUUGAAAUCAUGGGUAUACCUGUGAGUAUAAUAUUUCAUCAAACCAACUUCAGACAAGGUUUCCAGCUGCAGUUUACUGAGGCUAUUGAGAAAUUAUUUAAUGAAUAUGGUGCAAGCAUGUAUCCAAUUGAAUCUGGAUCAUCAUCUCUGGUGGGACUAAAUGUGGGCACCAGGUUGGCUCUAGAUAGGUUGGGCCCAAAGGUUAGGCCGAAUCUGAUGCUUGAGCCUGUCUAUAAUAAAAAAUUUCAACUGAAAUUCUCGGGCUGGGCCAAGCUUGUGGAGUUGGAGGUGUCGGGCUUACUAGUGAAUCAACUUGGCCCAACUCCAAACCCGCCCAUUCACCUCUCAGCCCCUCGCCCGCUCGUCAAUCACCUCUUGGUGGGACUCACAAGGUUUAGUAGAUAUACCAAUAAAAAAAUUGUCGAUACUAUGAUACAGGACAUCUCGAUUGGAAACCUCAACAGAAAUUGUACCAAGGCAACUUCCCAAAUUCAAAAUGUCAAGUUAUAUUGGAAGCUUCAAAUUCGAGCCAUAUUGAACUACGAAAAAUCCACCCAAUGUCAAUGAAUAAAGAGAAGAAGAGCCAAAAUCAGAUUUUGUCAGAUGGGGGGUUCGAGUCGUCAAAGGUGAGGAAGAACUUGUUCUGCAACAGAAACUGGGAAAUAUUCAAAGGACAUUUUAAAGAGUUGAAUUGAAGAUUAGUAAAAAAGAGCCAGGCAUCAUCACAAAAGUCAGCUACAUAACAUCAUUGUGUUCGAAUAUAAUGGCCAAAGACGGUCUCCAGGGCAGAGCAAAGAGCCCCUGUGAAUAAGCCUUAGGGACAACGUGCUCUACCGAUCGCCGCUUCCUCGUGGGCCAGUCAAAGAUCCAGACAAGAAGCUUUCACCUCUCGUCCCCAGCAGCAGCAACUGGGAAUUCUUUUCUCCGUAUUAUGCCGCAGGAUCGCACGUAGGAAAAUCAAGAAAUGAAAGAAGUGAAUCCAUCACUUAAUAUUUUAAUUAGGUAGAUACCAUGUCAGAAAGUGCAACCCAAAAAUUUCGAGAAAAUCAACCGGUUUCGCUUUUGAACGUUUGAAUGAGUGGCUUUUCUAGGUCAUAGAGAUGAUUAUGACUUUGCCAUAAGAUAAUUUGAACAUCAAAAGCUUCAAACCUUCCUAUGGCUUGGUCAUUACUUGGAGGGUGUAGAAACCACACCGCGUACGUGGAAAAUGGACUUUCACUAUAUUGAGUGUAGUCCUUGACACAAUUUGGGGUCUCUCAAGAAAAAAAAUCAUAUUUUUUUCCGGGCCUUUCUGACCUAUUAUAGACAUGAAUAUCGGCCACAUGCAAACUUGACUAAAAGUGAAUGCAGAUGAUGGUCCAUGUUUGUAUUUCACUGAUCAGAGUCUCGAUCAAAAGAAUUUCCUAUACCAAGAUGGAGGAAAACAUGCAGAAGUAAAAAGCAUUCUUAGACAUGGCUGCAAUAGAGAAGUAUUACCCAACGGGCUUUUACUUUUUUUUUUUUUUUGGUUAUAAAGGUUUUUCUUUUCUUCCAUGAAACAAUAUAUUUAUAAUAUAUUAUUCGGACAUCAUAUUUAAAGAUGGUGAAAUUAACUUCUAUAUUUUGAAUUCACGGGCAUACAUGUGAAAGGAUACUCAUCUAACUAACGUCUGACAAGAUUUUUGACGUAAUUGGCUGAGGCUAUUGAGAAAUUAUUUAGUGAAUACGCAUGCAUGUAUUAAAAUGAAUUUGGAUCAUCAUAUUUGGUGGGAUUAAAGGUGAGCACCAAGCAAGCUCCGGCUAGGUUGGGCCUAAUUUGUUGCCUAACCCCGUCUAUAAUAUAAAAUUUACAUAAACAUUCUCGAGCUGGGCUGAGCUUGUAAAGUUGGAGGUGUCGAGCUUACUUAUGUAGAAACCUUGCCCAAGUACAAGCUCGCCAUUUAUCUCGUGAACUUGGGGGCUGAGCGGGUUGCCUGCCCGUUGAUAUCCUCUUGAUGGGACCCAUAUGGGCCCAACGUUUCCUAUGGUUCAUGUUCAGUCCAAAUUUAGUAUAUAUAUCAGGGAUGAACAAUUCUAGGGCGGAGGUGAAGGGUUUAAAACCCAGAGGAGGCUCUAUAUGUUAUUAAGUGUGACUCAUGGAUGGUGGGUCCUCCUGCUUAAGUGUCACCUGGGGGUUUACGGCGCGGCUGUCGGCUGCAAGCCGGUUCCUCCAGCACAAAAAAAGAAAAAAAAAAGAAAAAGAAAAAAAAAGACAAUUCUAGGGUGGAUAGGUUCUAGAUAUACAACUUGAAACUUACCUUGUCGGGAUUGGUUCUUGAUUUUUGGAAUCUGAAACUUAAUUUAUAUAUCUUGGAACCGACCCUAUUGGUUUAAUUUGGUUGUAAGGUCUAUUGAAGAACCAACCAAUUCCUUUUGUUCAUUUUGGAUUUCAUUUUUUUUUAUUCAUUGAAAGGAUAAGCUUUAGUAAAACAUCUCAUAAUUUACAAUUGAGACAAAUAACAGCUAUAUCAAAAUAGUAGAAUCACAAAAAUGGCAAAGAGUUCGGUACAAAACAAACAAAAAUUUAAAAUAGUUGGGAAGUCUAAUUCAUCCUUAGUCAAGCAAAAUGAAAGAAAAUCAACAAUAGAAAUUCCCUUCUGCCAAAAGCACGAAAAGAGUAUGGCAUCUUCAGGCUACGUCAUUGUGGAGUGUUAAGAGCCACUGAUGACUUGAAAGGAUUGAAUUCUUUGAAGGAGGUGGGAUAAAAUAAUACAUGUCCCCAAAAAGUUUGUCCAAUGUGUCGGCAUUCACUAAGUUGGAGACAAAUUGGACAUUGUCAAAAGCUGUAGCACACACCAUUUAGCCAAGGAAGCGAUUAUGACUUUCGAUAUUGUAGGACAAAUAAACAUCAUCUGAAAGCGCAAGAACUUCUAUUGGACUAGUAUGAUAGGUGCAAGGGAUGAUCGGGAAGGUUGGAAUUUACCUUCUUGAGACCGGUUCCCAAUUUUGGGAAUAUGGAAUUUACCUUGUAGACCCGAGAAUUGGUGCUCCCCCUAGUAUAUAUACUACGCUCAUCUAUUAAUUUGUCGACGAUAUGAUUGGAAAUCUUAACAGAAGUUGCACAAGAGUAUGUGUUCACCAAAGACCAAUUUUGCAAGGUACCCUUAGAUCUCCCAAUCGAUAUAUAUGAGUUCUCCUGUAAUUCCCAAAUUCAAAAUGUCAAGUUCCAUUCAAAGUUUCAAAUGCUAGACAAAUUGAACUACGAAAAGUCCACCCGUCCUCAAUGAAUAAUGAACAAAGGCAAGAAGUUACAUAUUGUCGGAUGGGGAUUCAAGCUGUCAAAGAUGAGUAAGAACCUUUCCUGCAAUGCAAAUUGGGAAUAUUCAAUGGAUAGUUUAGAGAGUUGAAUUCAAGAUUAGUAGAACAGAGACAGGAAUCGCAAAAGUAAGCUAUAUCAACAUCAUCGUUUUAAAAAAUAAUGGCCAAGAGACGGCCUUUAGGGCAGUGCAAAGAGGCUAUAUGAAUGAGCCUUAGGGACGAUGAACUGCGCCGUUCGCCGCUUCCACGUGGGCUAAGUCAAAAGAUCCAUUCAAGAAAGUAUUCCCCUCUUGUAUACUUCAAUACAACUGAACAUUCUUUUUCUUUUCUCUUGGCCACUUGAUACAACAACAUUUUAUACUUCCUACUUCUUAAAACACGAAGUGUGAUUGACUGUCAUGAGGUAUGUUGAGACGAACAUAUGGAUUAUAUUAGAGAAGUCUCACAUCUGAAAAUUAGUGUGGCGUGGAGCGAUUAAUAAUCCUAGCUGGCCAAUUACUCAUUGACUUAAACUCUUGUGUGAAGAUAGACCUAAAUGAAUAUGUGCAUUUUUGGAUUUGUACUCAUUCCUGAUGAUCUCUCAGUGAAUGUAGGCGCAUCAGUGCACGUGUGAGUAAAGCCCCUAUGCUAAUCUCUAUGGUGCUUGCACAAUAUCGUAAUCAAAGUAAUCAUUUAAGAUUCAAUAUGCAUUGAAGAGUUAAAUUCCUUUUAGGCCCACAAUGUAAAAACACAGGUGAUUUAUGCAGUCAAGGAUGAAAAAAAAAAUCAUGAUACGAAGUUUUGGCUGUCGACUGUGGGCGCUCAGAAGUGUUUCUGCACGUGAUAGUCGCGCUCGACUGGCUCUUGAUUGGAUUUUUUUUUUUCCAUCGUUUCGUUUUAAGAACGCAAAACUAGCAAGACUCUAUAUGUUGCUGAAAAGGUGAUUUCAAGAAAUGGAAGGUGUGAUGUCCGUACUGAUGCUAGCAGCAGCAGCAACAGGGUAUUCAUUUCUUAUUUUCUCCUAAUCAAGUUGCAGAAUUUUGCGUAGAAAAAUUAAGAAAAAUUAAAGAAGGGACUCCAUCACUCAUUAAUUUGACUGGGUUUUGCCAAGUUCUUUCUUGCCUAUAGCAUCACUCUUGUACACGAAGUACAUUGUCAACUUCUGCUUAUGCUCUAUACAACAGCUCUCACAACACGACUAUGCGGCGCACACACAAGCAAGUCCGCAACUAGCCCUAACAAAUAAUAAUAGUUUGAUGCAAAUGAGUUCAUAAUAAUUGGGAAAAGUGUAAAAAAUGUCAUAAACCUAUAUAUUGGUAUCAAUUUAAUCCAAAACCUAUUCCGCCAUUUGAUCUCCUUGCUACUCUCAUGAGACAAUCCUCUUCUUGGACAUUACUGAUGUGGACGCCGGUCGGCUUAUAUUGUAUUGUCGGCGCUAAUGUGGACAAUUUUAAAUGAUAUUUUGAUAUUUUUAUUAUUUUUUUCUCUUGUAUCUUCUUCCUUUUGCCAAUGGUUAGCCACUGGUCAUGUUUGGGUGGGCUAGCCUCGCCUAGCCAUGGUGAGAUUGAGCCCCAACGAGGGCUCCUCUCAUCAAAUUUGGUGAGGUCAAGGGUUGGCCUAGCCAGAUUCCUAGCCUAGGCUAAAUCUGGUGAGGCCGACCCUUGUUGGGUCUUGGCCUUGCCAUGGUCAUGGCCGGUGGUUGGUCACAAGCAAAAGGAAGAAGGAAUGAGCGAAAAAAAUAUGUUUAAAUAUUAUUAAAAAUUAUUCAUGUUAUAGUCGGUGAUGCCAUGUAAGCUGGCAGGCAUUCACAUUAGUAAUAUCUACCAAAAUUAAUCGGAAUAAUUAAUUGGCAUCAGGUCAAAAGUUUUAAAACCAAAUUGGCACUAUUAAAAUGUUUAGAAUUAAAUUAAUACAAAUAUAAUAGAUUUAUGAUUUUUUGACACUUUUCUCUAUAAUAAUUUGUCGCCAUCAGCAAAAUGAAAGAAACGAAAAAACCUAAUUAUGAGAAUCUUUAACUUCGCUAAGAAGACACGCUUGUUGACAAGAGCUCUCUUUAGGUUCAAUUCAAGCUCUAUUCUAUCUUUCAUGCGGCAAAUAAAUGUCACGUAUCCAUACGAAACAGAUCACACGCAUAUCGUAGAAUUAGUACUAAUCUGUUAGAUUAAUUUGCAAACUAAUGGUUCAUGGAUGUGAUCAUGUAAAACAUCCUCAACCACUAAUUAAGCAUGACCAAAAGCCAAAAGCCUUUUUUCAGUUCAAGUUUCUCGUUGGCAAUAUAGCCUUGCAUUGCACGUCGCAGAGAAUGCUGAUCAGAGCCUGUAUAAGCUCCUUACUGUAUCUCUGCGUUGCACAAAUGAAUUUUCAGUAAUUUUUUAAUCUCUUGUUGAAUAAUUGGCCGCUCUGUUAUUACCUCGGGGUGUAUAAAAGUCAAAUUGAUCACGCCAAGCUAGACUUUUCAAGAUGACGAGAGGCGAAUGAAACUAUGUAAGUGGGCCAAUGGCACACCUCGAAACCAAAAUAUUUUCUUGUUUGUAGCUUUCAAUUACGUCAGGCUUACAUUGACGAGAAUAUUCCAUUUUUUAAUAUGAAUUGUACUAUAGAAAAACAUUAUUGUGAAAAAGAUUUUCCAUGCGUUUUUUAUUGAUGGCAUUGACAUGGGCAGAGCUUUUGCAAAGUAGGUCUAAUCCUGGAGUUUUUACUGGCUCACAAAGAUUCACAUGCACUAUUUUAGUCCAUAACCCACGAUGUGGAUAGUCCAUAGGCCAUGAACAAGUGAAAAUUAACUUUUCUACUGUUCAAAUGAGUAGAAGAAAAUCAAAAGAAAAUCAAAGGGAUAAAGAAGAGAAGCGAUGAAAAUUGAUUCGAAUCACUAGUAGUAAUCAAGAAUUUUUAUCACCUCUAUCCCUGAUGAUGAAGAAUGAAAGUACUAUUGAUAAGGUGGAUCACUAUGUUUGCACACAUUUAUGGACAAUCCAUUUCGUCCCGUGAAAUCAUUCCUUUUCUUUCCCAGAGAUUACGAACACAAGGCGAGUUCCUUUCAAUUCAUGUUCAUGCGGUUCGAUCUGGCCUUAUCCAAGAAAUUCAGUUUCCUUUCUCCAGCAGCGAUGUUUGAAUCUACCCAAGUUUCCGUGAAUCAAGUGAGAUGAGUUCGAGAGAAGAUGGUGGUGGUGGGUUGGUAAGACAGAGUGACGAUGAUUGGUGGAGAUUCCCUUUCACUGAGAGACACCCUGUUGUGUUGACUUUUAGGAUACUAUCGGGGGCCUUCGGUCGUGAGCGAGAGCCACAAGGAACGAAAAACGCACGCACGACUCCUCCGUAAAUCCGUAAGCUCUUCCAUCUCUCUGCUUGGGAGAUGUCAGCCUUGAGGAUCCCUUAUAAAUACUGAGUGAUUCAUCGAUCCAUGCCAUAGCACUGAAACGCAACUGCGUCCUUGCGUCUCCCGUCUCCUCCUCCUCCUUCUUCCUCGCCGUCAUUCUUGAUGGCCACCGCUUCUUUGACGCAGUGUCCUCCGUUGGGAUUCGGAGGGAAGUACUACCACGUGUCUGCAGAUGGAGGAAGCUGCGUGAGGCAGAGCAGCUUCUUCGGAGGCCAAGCUGUGCUCAAUCAGGGUGUUGGGUAUUCGGUCGUUCUUGGGUUCGGUGCCUUCUUCGCUGUCUUCACCUCUUUCCUGGUACUCCUUCGCUCUUCUCCUCUCGCGUAGACUUCUUCUUUUGUUGGUUUUGGCCUCUGUCUUUUUCGUUUCAAUCUAUGAAUCAUGGUACUUUUGGUUGGAAGAAAGCAUCUCUCUUCACUGAUGAUGAGGUUGUUUCGAAUUUGACUAAUUGGUAUGCAUGAUAAGAUAUGAAAUUCAGGCGAAGUGCAUAGACAGCUGCUCCAUGGCUCUUUCUUCGGUUGUGGGAGUAGAAUUUUCUGUGGCACUAUUUGAUGAUUUCCUGAUUUUCAUAACAAGGUUUUCAUUAAGUGCGGGUUGCUAUGAUCCAUUGUUUUCAUUGGUUGCUUGAUGAAGGACCUUAAGUUGAUAUUUGAAUAACUUGUUGCAUACUCUGACAUAGGAUUGCUACUAUCUGCAGAUAACCUCAGGUUUUUAAGGAGAGUUUGAAAUCUGCAGCGUAUCAUGUGUUUCUCUUUUGUUGUCAUUUUCUUGUUGAUUUUCUUUCCAAAGUUAUAGGAGAAACUCAUCAUAGAGUCAAGAGGACUGGGUAUUUGAACAUUCAGUUAAUACCACGGAGAACGAUAAGUCCUUUCAUGAAUUGCUGACUGUUCUGACUUACCUAUCAGUGCAAUCAGGUCUAUUCCGUACCAUAAAUUGACUAUACAAAAAUUGUGCAGACAAGCCUGUAUUCACUAUACAAUAAUCGUGAGAUACUAGACAAUCAAUUUAAUCAGUAGGAUUGCUUCACUUCUUUCCCUCUGUUUUUGUUGAGAAAAGAAUAUUUUGCUUCUGCAACAUAGCUGAAUCACUACAGUGGAUUCAUCUUUUCAUCCACUUAUCAGAUAUAUCAUGUCAAACAUAAACAUAAGAGAGCCAAUAUUCUCGUCUUUGAGAGACAAAUGUAAUUGUCUUUGCUAUCUCGUUCUAGUUGAAGAACUGUAUUUUUACUUCUCUAGCAUACCAGACUGGCACUAGCUGCCCAUUCUUUUCCUUACAGAAUCGAAUGAAUCGGCAUGGUAUGGAACCUCAAUUGUGAUUAGUAAUUUCCUGUGAUGCCAGGUCUGGCUGGAGAAGCGUUAUGUUGGAUCGCGCCACACUUCUGAAUGGUUCAACACUGCGGGAAGGAAUGUCAAAACUGGACUAAUAGCUAGUGUGAUCGUUUCUCAGGUAUUCCUUCUGCAUUGUUAGUUAGGCAGCUUAGACGGAAUUCCAGCGCAAACAACUAAUAUUUCUCGGGUUGAACUCUUGAAGUGGACGUGGGCUGCUACAAUCUUGCAAAGCUCCAAUGUCGCCUGGCAAUAUGGAGUUAGCGGGCCAUUCUGGUAUGCGAGCGGUGCUACAAUCCAGGUACACGCAACUUCCAUCUGAUGGCUCAUUCGUGUUUAUUGACCUUAACUUCCAAGAGAAAGUCGACAUUGGAGUUCUCACAGCUAAGUCGCUAAAUGCUUGCAAAUAGGUACUCUUGUUCGGUAUAAUGGCCAUAGAGAUAAAAAGAAAAGCUCCUCACGCGCACACAGUUUGUGAAAUCGUGAGAGCUCGGUAUGUAUCACCUAGCCCAAGACGGAACACUCAUAUUUUUCGGCUUAACCCGCGUCACAAGGAUUUCUCUUAUGCUGAUUUCAGUAAGUUUGAAUUUCAGUUGGGGAACUGCUGCGCAUAUUGUUUUCCUCGUCUUCUGCUUCAUGACGAACAUAAUCGUCACUGCGAUGUUGCUUCUCGGUGGCUCUGCUGUCGUCAAUGCUCUGACCGGAAUGAACAUAUAUGCCGCUAGCUUCCUGAUACCCCUCGGAGUGAUUGUCUACACUUUGGCCGGAGGCCUAAAAGCUACCUUCUUGGCAAGCUACAUACAUUCUGUUAUAGGUAUUUUACCACAUAAGCUUUUAGUUUUCAUCUAAGCCCUACUGAUUUGGAAUGCAAGCGCUAACUGGCUGAUGUUUUUGCGUACAGUGCACGUGGUUUUAGUAAUCUUCGUCUACUUAGUAUACACGGCAAGCCACGAGCUCGGUAGCCCCGGCGUUGUUUACAGACGUCUCUUGGAGGUAGCGAGCAAAUCAAGAUCAUGUCAGGAGCCGAUUUCCCACAGCGGGCAAUCUUGUGGUCCUGUCAGUGGCAACUACGAUGGAUCUUACUUGACAAUGUUAAGCUCUGGAGGGCUCGUGUUCGGUAUCAUCAACAUUGUCGGCAACUUUGGUACCGUCUUUGUUGACAAUGUAAGUUUCGUCACCGAGAGUGAUCUGCCUGCCCAGAUGCGAGCAUAAAUUUUUUCCCUUUCAUUAAUCGCGAUGUCAUAUUUUGACUGAAACAUUACAGGGAUACUGGGUGAGCGCCAUAGCUGCGAGACCCUCUUCGACACACAAGGGCUAUUUGUUAGGUGGACUGGUGUGGUUCGCGGUGCCAUUCUCAUUGGCCACAUCCCUCGGUAUAGGAGCACUCGCGCUCGAUUUGCCGAUUACAGAGAGCGAAGCAAGCCAUGGGCUUGUUCCUCCAGCUACAGCUAUUGCUUUGAUGGGGAAAGGAGGAGCUGUCCUCCUUCUCACUAUGCUCUUCAUGUAAGUUCUGCAUCUGUCAAUACUACUAUAAUAGACACAAAUAAAACAGCACGAUUUUAUCAUUUGAUGCGCAUUUGUUGGGCUGAAAAAUGGUGCAUCGGCAUUGAACUAAGAUCAAAUAGCGUACUUAGCAUUGCUCUGUUCUUAUGUGUCAGGGCCGUGACGUCCGCUGGUUCCUCUGAACUAAUAGCGGUGUCUUCAUUGUGCACAUAUGACAUCUACCGCACUUACAUCAAUCCAAACGCAAGCGGGAAGAAAAUCCUCCAGGUUUCAAGGGGCAUCAUCCUCGGGUUUGGGUGCUUCAUGGGAGUGCUUGCGGUGAUCUUGAACAAGGCUGGAGUCUCACUCGGCUGGAUGUACCUCGCGAUGGGAGUGAUUGUCGGCUCGGCUGUCAUUCCCAUUGCGUUUAUGCUCCUCUGGAGGAAGGCAAACGCGUUCGGUGCGAUUCUGGGGACGAUCUGUGGGUGCAUCCUGGGAAUCAUAACUUGGUUGGUGGUCACGAGCGUCGAGUAUGGCCGGGUAAAUCUGGACACCACUGGGAGGAACGCGCCGAUGCUUGCAGGGAAUCUCGUCUCGAUUCUUACUGGCGGGGCAAUCCAUGCUAUCUGUAGCUUCCUGUGGCCACAAAACUAUGAUUGGGAAACCACCAAGGAGAUCACAAUGGUCGAAAAGGAUAAGACCGACCUGCCGUCGGAGGAGUUCAAGGAAGAGAAGCUGAUGAGGGCGAAGGCAUGGAUCGUGAGAUGGGGCGUCGGGUUCACUCUCGUCAUCGUGGUGUUGUGGCCAGUUCUCUCGCUCCCAGCAAGUAAGUUAAAUUCCUAACGCCUUGAGACUGCUUAACAUAUUGCACGCAACAUUUAAUGUCUGCUUUUUCUGAAACUUUCCUGUUGCUUUGCUUGUCUACAGGGGAAUUCAGUAAAGGGUAUUUUACAUUCUGGGCGGCCAUCGCAAUAGCGUGGGGAACCAUCGGCUCUGCGGUCAUCAUUGCCCUGCCGGUGAUCGAGAGCUGGCAGACUAUCCGGAGCGUCUGUGUCGGCAUGUUCACGAACGACCAGCUCAUGGAAAAGAUCCAAGAGCUCAACAUCAAGUUACAGGCAGUCGUAUCGGCGAUACCUGAAGCAGAGAGAUUGUAUCUCCUCGAGGUGGAAAAGACCAAGAAACUGGAUGCUGGUGAGCAACAAGUCCUGCCUGCUUAGCUUGCUCGACGUGAGCUGCCAACGCGAAAAUCUUUAGGGGGUAUGAAAUUUGUGCAGAAAAGAAGAGGAAGGGUGGACUUGCCUUUUCUUUUUUGUCAUGUCAUGUCACUCUUCGUGCUUGAAAAGGAGCAUGCUUUGGGCAAGAAAAGCAAGUGGCUCGGAGGCCACAAUCUGUAAUUUUCCCCACGUAAAUGUUCCUGAUCUCAAUGAAAUGGAAUUAAAGUUGUCGAUAGUCUCUGCUGACAUUCAUUUAAUUUUACAAGUUACCACUCACUUUCAUGAAUACACGGAACCUUUUUUGCAGCAUUAGGCCCUACAGUCAUUGAUCACAGAACUCAACUUGCCCUCAUCAACCACUCUUAACCAUAACAAAUGAGGUUCUCAAGAGCCUCCUCCUGCUGAACGCAAAUGCCAUGGACUGCCUCAAAUCAAUUCUGUAAAUGCAAUUGAAGCCUGUUUCUUUCACAUUGUAGGUGGCUGCUUGCGCCGUGUAAGCCUAGAUCUACACUCACGAUGGGAAUUCAGGAACAUAACCCCGUGGCUGUGGCCUUCUCAGAAGCCUGCUCUCGAUACCUAUUAACGAUUAUACAUGUACAGAACAUGAAACCUUCCAUAAAAGUCCAUCUUUUCCUCUUGCUCAUAGUGAACCGGAUCUUUUCCUCACGCUAUCUUAGUCCCUUCAAAGCGGAAAAGACAUUGCUUUCCUACAGAGCGACUUGCUUUCGCAAUCACCAAACCAAUCACAAGUCCAUUUCCAGAACACGCGAUAUCAUUCACUCCUGAGCCAUGACCGACCACCUACUGCCACCCAUUAGCCUCCAAGACAGCCAAGGACGCAAACAUUAAAGAUACAUCCUCGCGCUGGUACACUGGGAAUUGACAACUUAAAAAUUCAACAACUACCCAUCAUUAAAGUUCUCAUCAUCUCCCAACAACCUUCCCAACUUUCUUCGAGCAAUAAAAACAUAUGCUAGAUAUGAAGCAACCAUCGAUGUCAUCGUGUAAAGUCACUUUCCAAGAAAAUACUCUCAGCUAUAACCUCUGCCAUUGUGAAUAACACAUUCCCUAAUCGAAUGAAACAAAGAGGGUUCGAAAUCACUUGCUCAUAAAGCUAUGCCUCAUUCCUAAUGUCAUUCUACUGGAACGACUCAACCCAAACAUUCAUACAUGGAGUGAUAUUUGCUCCAUCACUUGCUCUAAAACUUUGAAGCUGGCAACGAGAGAUUCACCAUGUUCAAACAUGGAGCUACAUUUGCGCUACCACUUUACUUUUAUGCGACAUUCACCAUCACAAACACCAUACGUCAAGCAACACAUCCGUCACAUUCCAGAAAAUAGCUCACAUCUGCGGAUCAGAAAUUUCUGACUAGACGUUCCAUUUUCGAGAACUUGCUACAGGCAAGACACACAAAAAGUGAAGUGCGAGGAAUAUAACGAAAGUCGCCAGGACACAUGAGAUUCUGAAAAGUAAUAAAGAGAGCGAUCACAUAGUGUUCUUAAUUCUCAUAGGGUACGAGUUUCAAACACAGCGAUAAUGAAGCCCCUAGAGGAUAGAUAGAGUCACAGACAUCAAGCAGAGGCACCAGCUUCUUCCAACAGCUGCUUCACCUUUGUGAUGUAAUCGUUCAUUGCUUCGUCCGCCGAUUUGCCAGCGAACAAGCAAAAAUAUCAAUCUUAGAAAUAGCAAAGUCCAACACAAAUCAUUAAAUAAAAAGAAAAGGAAACAGGCAUUAUUUAUCUCGGAGAUGGACCUGGUUGAGAAACAACGCGUUGAAGCAUGACAAGUUGCAAAUCCAAAAUCCAUUAGAUGAGGGUGAGUUACUGACUGGUGUUCACUGGUCCAACCGUGGCUUGCUUGUAAAGCCCAUAGAGGAUGAGCUUGUUCUCAUUGGUUGUACUCUCCGGCAAGGUCUUGGCUUUCUCAGCAUAUUCCUCAAAGUCUUCCUGCAUAAACCAACUAGGUGAUGACGUUAACAAGGAUGACACUAAAAGUACACAUCAACUUCCUCAAAGCUCUAUAAAAGCACACAAGAAGAGAACAACUAACAUGUCCGCAAAGUUAAUAACAGAAGUACGAAAACCAACAUGAAUUAAAUAAAGUAAAACGUUUAUUAUGCUGUCACCACAAAAAAGAAGAUAAAAAGCGCAUGAUAUUCUGAAGAAGAAUGGUAUUUUAGGCAACGCACGGAACAGAGAUGCCUGUGCAGAUGCUAGACGGCUCUGAUCGAUUGUCUUUCCAUCCUGCGAUAGUCGAAGGAAAAAGCAGAGGCGGAGACGAGAAGACUGAAACGAGAAUUCAGUUUGAAUAGUCAGCGUCCUGCUUUGACCCGACAUCAGCGAAUCUGCUUUCCCUAGUUUCCCUAGUUUCCCUAGUUUUUCUCUUGAGAAUGAGUUUCGUCUAGCCGGCGUUUCUACUCUAGCUAUCGGCCGGGAUUGAUCCGAUCCGGACGAGAUCAGUUUACGAAAGAUCCAUUCUUUGAAUUAUCGCCGCUCUAUAGUCAUUGGGACCUUGGAGAAUACCUUGUUCAUCUUCCAGCAUAAUAAUAUCCAAGUGAUGAUAUAAUUGUCAUCUCUCUAGAACGAUCUCAGAGCAAUUCUAAAUUCAUGAAGGGGGGUUUCUACGCGAUCUCUAGAAAAUUUAUUUGCCAUUUAUGGAACGUUUCACCACGAUUUCAUCCAUUCAAAGACGUUAGAUUUUUGUCAGCAUCUAUAGACAUAAUUAGGCGCGUGAUUGAUUAAGCAGUCAUUAAUAUUUCUAAAUGUUAAUUUAUGGUGGGAUUAGGAAUAGGAGGACGUGUGAGGAAGCUGCUUCAAGUAGGUCAAACCUGCUUCGCCUUUGACCCACUUGAAUGUGAACACUCAAAAAGUUAUCCUUUGGACUUUUCCAUAAGAUAAUGCGAACAUAGAAUUGAUUAUAUAGCUUGACCAUAAGAUGACUUGCCAUUACUUGGAGCUGAGGGAAUGAAAACGACGUCAUCGUGCGUGCGAAAAAUGAAUAUUGCUUGUAUGCAAAAUUGAGUGAACAAUGGUCCUUGUUUGCACUCCACUAAUAAAAGUCUCGAUUGAAAGAGAUCUCCAAUGAAGAGAUGGAGGAAAACAUGCUAAAGAAAAGAAGUAUUCUCAGGCAUGAACCGUGAUAAAGAACUAUUAAUUGAUAUGCCUUUUUUUUUUUUUCAUUGUAUCUUUUUUUUUAUUUUAUAAAUUGUCCUUCCAUGAAACAAGAUAUGUCUAUAGUAUAUUCAUCGGGACAUCCUAUAUAAAGACGGUGAAAUUAGCCCCUAGACUUUGAAAUCAUGGGUAUACCCGUCAAUAUAAUAUUUCGUUAAACCAACUUCAGACAAGGUUUCCGGCUGCAGUGUAGUGAGGCUGUGAGAAACUAUUUAAUAAUAUGGUGCAAGCAUGUAUCCAAUUGAACCUGGAUCAUCAUUUCUAGUGCGACUAAAUGUGAGCACUAGGUUGGCUCUAUAUAGGUUGGGCCCAGAGGUUAGGCCGAAUUUGAUACCUGAGCCUGUCUAUAAUAAAAAAUUUACCCACAAAUUCUCGGGCUGGGUCAAGCCUGUAGAGUUGGAGGUGCCGGGCUUACUCGUGAAAGAACGUGGCCCAAGUCCAAGCCCACCCAUUUACCUCUCAGCCCCCGCCCGCUCAUUGAUCACCUCUUGAUGGGACUCACAAGGACCCAAUGUUUCCAAUAAUUUGUGUUCGUGUUCAACUCAGUUUAGUAGAUAUACUAUGUAAAAAUUUAUCGACACUAUGAUAAAGGAUAUCUCGAUCGGAAACCUCAAACAGAACAUAAGUUGUACGAAGGAAAGUUCCCAAAUUCAAAAUGUCAAGUUUGAUUGGAAGUUCCAAAUAUGAGCCAAAUUAAACUACAAAAACUCUACCAGAUGUCAACGAUGAAUAUGUAAAAAAAGCAUAAUUUAGAUGUCGUCAGAUGGGGUUGCAAGUUGUCAAAGAUGAGAAAGCACAUAACAUUCGCCGCUUGGAAGGUUGAACUGAAGAUUAGAACGAUAGAGCCAGGCAUCACAAUAGUCAGCUACAUAACAUCAUUGUGUUCGAACAUAAUGGCGAAAGGUCUCUAGGGCAGAGCAAAGAGCCCUUGCGAACGAGCCUUAGGGACAACGUGCUCUACCGAUCGCCGCUUCCUCGUGGGCCAGUCAAAGAUCCAUGCAAGAAGCUUUCCCAUCUUGUCAGUAGCAGCAGCGACUGGGAAUUCUUUUCUCCGAAUUAUGUUGCAUAAUCUUGCGUAGAAAAAUCGAGAAAUGAAAGAACUGAAUCGAUCACUUAUUGAUUUAACUGGCUCAACAUCAUGUUAGAGAAAGCCCAAUCCAAAAGUUUCGAGGACGUCAUCCGGCUUCGCUUCUGACCACUUGAAUGAGUGGCUUUUGCAGGUCAUGGAGAUGAUGUGUCUUUGCCAUAAGAUAAUGUGAACACCAAAAACUCCGAGCCUUCUUAGGGCUCACCGUUAUUUGGAGUGGAGGGUAUAGGAACCAGGUUGCGUAUUUGAAAUCAUGGGUAUACUUGUGGAAGAAUACUCAUCUAACUACUAACAAGAUUUCUGACAUAGUUGAGUGAGGCUAUCAAUAAAUUAUUUAGUGAAUAUGGUGCAUACAUGUAUUGAAUAGAAUUUGGAUAGUCACAUCUAGUGGGACUAAAGGUGAGCACCAAGCAAGCUCCGGUUAGAUUGGGCCUAAUUUGUUGCCUGAGCCCGUCUAUAAUAUGAAAUUGCCAUAGAAAUUCUCGAGCUUCGCCUGAGUUUGUAAAGUUGGAGGGGUCGUGCUUGCUUAUGUAAGAACCUUGCCCAAGUACUAGCUCGCCCAUUUAUCUCGUGAACUUGGGGGGCUAAGUGGUUUGCCUGCCCCUUAAUCUCCUCUCAAUGGGAGCCAUAUGGAUAUAGCAUUUCCAAUGGUUCAUGUCAGUUCAUAUUAAUAUAUAUACAUAAUAGGGAUGGACUGUGCUUGUGUGGAUAUGAUCUAGACUUAUAACUUAAAAUUUACCUUGUUGGGAUUAGUUCCCAAUUUUUAUAACUAAAAACUUACCUUGUAGAUCUAGGAACUGACUCUAUCAGUUCGCUCUAGUUCCAAGUCUAUUGGAGAAGCAGCCAAUUUCCUUUUUUUUUUUUGUGGGUUUUAUUCUUUUAUUCCUUGAAAAGACAAACUUUAGUAAAACAUCCUAUAAUUUACAAUCGAAACAAAUAAUGGUUACAUCAAAAUAGUAGAAUCACAAAAUGCCAAGGAAUACAGUACAUAACAAACAAAAAUAUAAUACGAAUGGGAAGUUCAUCUCAUCCUUAGUCAAGCAAAAUUAAAGUUAAAACAACAAUAGAAAUUCUCAUUCACCAAAAGCAGCAAUCCAUGGAAAAAAAUACAAUGUCUUUAGCUAUGUUAUUGUGAAGUGUUGAGAGCUAUUGACGGCUUGAAAGAAUUGAAUUCUUUAAAGGAGGUGGAUUUGUCCAAUGUGUUGGCUUUCACCAAGUCAGAGACAGAUUGGACACUGCAAAAAGUUGUAGUGGAUAUGUCCUGGAAAAGUUUGUCCAAUGUGUUGGCUUUCACCAAGUUAGAGACAGAUUGGACACCGCAAAAAGUUGUAGUGCACAUCAUUUAGUCACGGAAGUGAUUGUGACUUUCGAAUUGUAGGACAAAUAAGCACCGUUCCAAAAGUGCAAGAACUCCUAUAGAUCCUAGAACCGGUGCUCCCCCUAGUAGAUAUACUACACUCAUAUAUUAAUUUGUCGAUGUUAUGAUUGGAAAUCUUAACAGAAGUUGUACAAGAUGAUGUGUUCACCAAACAAGAAUUUUGCAAGGUAACGUAAGGUCUCCCAAUCAAUAUAUAUUAAUGAGCUCUCCUAAAGUUUCCAAAUUCAAAAUAUCUCCUUCCAUUCGAGGUUUCAAAUUUGAGCCAAAUCGAACUGCGAAAACUCCACUCGUUCUAAAUGAAUACUGAACAAAGUCAAUAAGUUACAUAUUGUCGAAUGGGGAUUGAAACUGUAAGAUGAGGAAGAACUCUUUCUGCAAUGCAAAUUGGGAAUAUUCAAUGGAUAGUUUAGAGAGUUGAAUUCAAGAUUAGUAGAACAGAGGCAGGAAUCGCAAAAGUCAGCUAUAUAAACAUCAUCGUUUUAAAAAAUAAUGGCCAAGAGACGGCCUUCAGGGCAGUGCAAAGAGGCCAUGUGAAUGAGCCUUAGGGACGAUGAACUGCGCCGUUCGCCGCUUCCGCGUGGGCUGAGUCAAAGAUCCAUUCAAGGAAGUAUUUCCCUCUCGUAUACUUCAAUACAACUGAGCGUUCUUUUUCUUUACUCUUGGCCACUUGAUACAACAGCAUUUUAUCCUUGCUUCCUACUUAUUAUAACACCAAGUGUGAUCGACUGUCAUGAAGUAUGUUGAGAUGCACGUAUGGAUUUUAUUAGAAAAGUCUUAUGUUCGAGAAUUGGUGUGACGUGGAGCGAUUGACAAUCCUAGCUAGCAAAUUACUCAUUAAUUUAAACUUUUGAGUGAAUAUAGACCUAAAUGGAUAUGUGCGGUCUUGGAUUUAAGCUCAUUAUUGAUGAUUUUUCUGUUAGAGGUUUGUUUGUAAAACAAACUAAGUGCGUUUUUCUUGUCCCACAUAGGAAAAAUGGGAGGAAGUGGGUCAAUUAAUAAGUGUGGGAUUUCCUUUGUAUAUCUAAAGGAAUGAUUGGGUGGAGCUAGACCUCACCAUACCUGUGUGCAGGUGCACGACUAUUUGGCGCACUUAGCACUCAUCACGCCUGCGGUUUAAUUAGCACUAAUCCCUUUGUUAUUUAUUUAUUUUUAUUUUUAUGUUAUUAAUUUUAAUCAAUUCAAAGGUUGCUUUUGUUUUCUGCAAAUUUUUCGAAAAUUAUUUAAAAUAAAAAUUGGAAAUUUUAGUUAAAAAAAUUAUUCCGAAUUUUUUUGUUUGUGUUUUUUCAAGACAACCUUUGAAAAUAUACUUGUUUAGUUUGCAACUUUUCCCGAAGGGAUAUGUCAUUCUUUGAACUUAUUAUGAAUAGACGUCUUUGUUCAACCGGGCAAUUUUCAGAAGGACACGUUUGUUCAUUUUUUAGCAAUUUUUUUAUGAAGAGUUGCAUAUGUUUUAAGACUGUUAUAUAUAUAUAUAUAUAUACUUGUCAUUUUUCGGAAGAACUAGAGUGAUCAUUUUCAAGCCUUCUUUAAGAAAAAACUGCUGCCAUUUUUUCGAUUGUUUCUUAGAGAGAUCCUGGAAAAAUACUAGAAUUGCUAUCUAGUAUUCUCAUUUCGAGACUUUGUUGUAUCCUAGAUGAUAUUUUCCGGUGACUAUUAGCAACGUUGUGGGGUAAAUAAAUUUUUAAAGAGAAUGAUAUCACGUCUCAAAGUCCAACUUGAGUACUCUAAAUAUUCUUCUUCAUUGUUCUACCCAAUUUGAAGUCAUAUUUUCCCAACAUUUCCUAGUGAAUGUAGGCACUUCACUGCACAUUUGAGUCAAGCCCCUAUGCUAAUCUCUACAAUGCUUGCACAAUAUCGUAAUCAAAGUAAUCUAUUAAGAUUCAAAAUGCAUCGAGAGUUAAAAUCCUUUUAGGACCACGAUGUAAAAACACAGGUGAAUUAUGCAGUCACCAACGAAAAAAAAUAAAAAUCACAGAUGAGGUUUUGGGCGUCGAUUGUGGGUACUCAAAAGUGUUUGUGCACGCGGUAGAUGCUCGGCCGGCUCUUGAUUGGAUUUUUUUUUUUUUCCAUUUGGUUUCAAGAAUACAAGACUAAUAUUAAAAUAUUUAAAAAAUAAAUUACGUAUUCGUAUGACAGCUUAAGUUUUUAGAAUAAUUAACAGUGAUUUUCACAAAAAUCUCACAUAGUAUUAGAGUAGGAGAUCCUAAGUUUAAAUAUUUCUUGAUCCCAUUUGUUUCCUUCUAAUUAAAUAUGUCAACACUUAGUACUAAACAAAAAUACUAGACUAAACGUAAAUUAUUUUUUCAUUUAACAACUUAAACUUUUAGAAAAAUUAGUAUUAAUCCUCACGAAAAUUUCACAACUGCCUUGAUAUGAUGCUGAAAAGGUAGCUUCAAGAAAUGGAGGGUGUGAUGUCCGUACUGAUGUUAGCAGCAGCAGCAGCUGGGGUAUUCUUUUCUCCGGAUCAUGUUGCAAAAUGUUGCUUAGAAAAAUUAAGAAAAAUGAAAGAAGGGAAUCCGUCACUCAUUAAUUUAAGUGGGUUUUGGCAAGUUCUUUCUUGCUUAUAGCAUCCCUCUUGUACACAACUUGCUAGAUUACGUUAGAAGAAGGAAGAAGGUGAAGCAGCAAAGUGCAUGGUCAGCUCCUGCUUAUGCUCUCCCUGACAGCUCUUGCAACACGACCGUGCGGAGGACACCCAUACACGCAAGUACGCGACUAGCUCUAACAUAUAAUAAUAGUUCGAUGAGAAUGAGUUCAUAAUACUUCGUCCCCAUCGGCGCAAGAAAGAAAUGAAAAAAUCUAUGUAUGAGUAUCUCGAACUUCGCUGGGGAGACAUGCUAAUCAACAAGAGCUCUCGUUAACUUUCAAGGUUUAAUUCAAGCUCUUUUCCAUCCAUCACGCGUCGGAUUAAUGUCAUGUAUCCAUAUAAAAAAGAUCACAUAUAUGUCGUAGAAUUAGUAUUAAUUUGUCAGAUUAAUUUGCAAAAUAAUAGGUCAUGGAAGUAACGAGAAUCCUCAACCUUUACUUAAGCAUAACCAAAAGUCAAAAGCUUUUUGAGUUCAAGAUUCUCGUUGGCAAAUGUAGCCUUGCAUUGCACGUCGUAGAAAAUGCUGAUCAGAGCCUGCUCUCUACGUUGCACAAAUGAAUUUUCAGUAAUUUUUUGAAUAAGAGUGCACUUGGCAACUGGCCAAAUAGUGUUUAAUUCUAUUCUUUUGUUCCCGGAAGUAGAUUUGGAACAGAAAUCCAUUUAAUAAAUUUUUUAUUCUCAAAAAUAAAAAUUCAAAAAAAGUUGAUUUUUUGUUUCGGAAAACAAUUUCAAAAUUAAGCCAACCAAAAUUUUUUCUUUUCUUUUCUCUUCUUCUUCCAUCGUUGCAACCAUUGGCCGCCGCCGUUGCCGGUUGCAGGUGACCAAUAGGGCGAGCUCGUUGAAGGCUCGCCCAGCCAGCCCCACCUAGCUGGUGAAGGCACGGCUGAGCCCUAGUUGGGUUGGGCGAGGCUCAACCCAGAUCUGGCGAUGCUGAGCUCGCCUAGCCAAGGCUCGGCCGAGCCUCGCCCAGUUGUUGGCGAGGCUUGGUUGAUGAGGUGCAGCCUUGCCAAGGGUUGACAACACUCAAGCGAGGUCGCCGGCCAGAGCUUGAAGAAGAAGGAGAAGGGAAAGAAAAAAAAAGAAAAAGAAAAAAAAGGAAAAAGCAAUAAAAUUAUUAAAAAUUAAAAAAAAAUGGUUUGGAAUAGAAAUUUUGAUGAAGGUGUCAAACACAAUUAUAUUCUAAAAAUAGAAAUUUUGAAAAAUUACCAAAUGUAUUAAAAUAUUUAGAAAUUGUUCUCGGGAGCAAAAUAAAAAAGAAUCAUCUCUAAUUAAAAAUUAUUUUUGGGAAUAAAAUGGUUACUAAAUGCCCUCUAAUUGCCCGCUAUGCUAUUUUCUCGAGAUGUAUAAAAGUCAAAUAGAUCAUUCCAAGAAAGACUUUUCAAGAUGACGAGAGGCGAAUGAAGCCAUGCAAGCGGGCCAAUGGCACACCUCGAAACCGUGAAUAUUUUCUUGUUUGUCGCUAUCAAUUAUGUCGGGCUUACGUUGACGAGAAUAUUCCAUAUUUUAAUAUAAAUUGUACUAUAGGAUAACAUUAUUGUGAACAAGAUUUUCCAUGCAUUUUUUUUUAAUGAUAGGACGCGCUGAGCUUUUGCAAACUAACUCUUAUCCUGGAGUUUUAAAUGGCUCACAAAGAUUCACAUGCACUAUUUCAGUCCUUAAACCAUAUUUGUGGAUAGUCAUAGACGAUAGAAAAGAGAAAAUAAUGGAUUCACUUUUUAACCGUUUACAUGAGUAAAAGAAAAUUGAAGGGAGAAGAAGAGGAGAUGAAAUUCAAUUUGAAUCACUAGAAAUAAUCGAGAGCUUUUAUUACCUCCAUCCUUAAUGAAUAGAGAAAUUACGAUUGGUAAGGUGGAUCACAAUGUUUGUACGUAUUUAUGGACAAUCCAUUUUGCCUGCGAAAUCAUUUCUUUUCUUUCCCAAAGAUUACGAACACAAGGCAAGUUCCUUUCAAUUCAUGUUCAUGCAGCUCGAUCCGACCUUGUCCAAGAAAUUCAGUUUCCUUGCUCCAGCAGCGAUGUUUGAAUCUACCCAAGUUUCCCUGAAUCUAGUGAGAUGAGUUUGAGAGAAGAUGGUGGUGGCUUAGUCAGAGAUAGUGAUGAUGAUUGGUGGAGAUUCCCCAUUCACUGAGAGAGCUAUACCCUCUCGUGUGGACUUUUAGAGACUAUCGAGGCCUUUGGUCGUGAGCGAGAGCAACAAGGGACGAAAAACGCACACUCAACCCAUCCGUAAAUCCGUACCCUCUCCUAUCUCUCUGCUUAGAAGAUGUCAGCCAUGAAGAUCAAUUAUAAAUACUCUGCGAUUCAUCGAUCCUUGCGUCUCCUCCUUCAUCUUCUUCCUCGCCAUCAUUCUUGAUGGCCACCAGUUCUUUGACGCAGUGUCCUCCGUUGGGAUUCGGCGGGAAGUACUACCAUGUGUCUGCGGAUGGAGGAAGCUGCGUCAGGCAGAGCAGCUUCUUCGGAGGCAAAGCUGUGCUCAAUCAGGGUGUUGGGUAUUCGGUCGUUCUUGGGUUCGGUGCCUUUUUCGCUGUCUUCACCUCUUUCCUGGUACUCAUUCAGCUCAUUUGCUCUUUUCCCCUUGCGCAGACUUCUUCUUUUGUUGGUUUUCGGCCUCUGUUUUUUUUUUCGUUUCACUCUAUGAAUCGUGGUGCUUUUGGUUGGAAGAAAGCAUUUCUCUUCAACGAUGAUGAGGUUGUUUCGGUUUUGACCAUUUGGUAUGCAUGACAAGAUAUGAAAUUCAGGCAAAGUACCAUAGAGAGUUCCAUGGCUCUUUCUUCGGUUGUGGGACUAGAAUUUUCUGCGGCACUAUAUGAUGAUUUCCUGAUUUUCAUGACAAGGUUUUCAUUAAGGGUGGGUCAUUAUGAUCCAUUGUUUUCAUUGGUUGCUUGAUGAAGGGACCUUAAGUUGAUCUUUGAAGAAACUUGUUGCACACUUUGACAUAGAAUUGCUACCAUCUGCAGAUAACCUCAGAUUCUUAAGGAGAGUUUGAAAUCUGCAGUGUCUCUCUUGAUAGUCGAUGAUCCUAUCUCACCUGAUGAUCAAGCUGAGUCUUAGAUGUAUCACGUCUCUCUCUUUUGCUGUCAUUUUCUUGUCGAUGUUCUUUCCAAGGUUAUGGGAGUUACUCAUCAUAUUCAAUAGGACUGGAUAUUUGAACAUUCGGUUAAUACCACGAGACAAUGAUAAGUCCUUUCAUGAAUUGCAGAAUGUUCCGACUUAACUAUCAGUGCAAUCAGGUCUAUUCCGUACCAUAAAUUGGUGACAUGAAAAUCGUUCAGACAAGCCUGUAUUCACUAUCCAAUAACCAUGAGACACCAGCCGAUCAAUUUAAUCAGUAGGAUUGCUUUGCUACCUCAUUCUAGUCGGAAAACUGUAUUUCUACAUCUCUAGCAUCCCAGACCGCUAGUUGCUCAUUCUUUUCCUUACAGAAUCGAAUGAAUCAGUGGCAUGGUAUGGAAGCUUACUUGUGAUUCUGAUUGGUGAUUAGUAAUUUCCUGUGAUGCCAGGUCUGGCUGGAGAAGCGUUAUGUCGGAUCGCGUCACACUUCUGAAUGGUUCAACACAGCAGGAAGAAAUGUUAAAACUGGACUAAUAGCCAGUGUGAUCGUUUCUCAGGUAUUCCUUCUGCAUUGUUAGUUAGGCAGCUUAGACAGAAUACCAGCUCAAACAACUCAUAUGUAUCGGUUUGAACUCUUGAAGUGGACAUGGGCCGCUACAAUCUUGCAAAGCUCCAAUGUUGCCUGGGAAUAUGGAGUUAGCGGGCCGUUCUGGUACGCCAGCGGUGCUACGAUCCAGGUACGCAAAACUUCCAUUUGAUUGCUCAUUCGUGUUUAUUGACUUUAACUUCCAAGAGAAAAUAGACACUGGAGUUCUCACAGUUUGAGUCACUAAAUGCUUGCAAAUAGGUACUCUUAUUCGGUAUAAUGGCCAUAGAGAUCAAAAGAAAAGCUCCUCACGCGCACACUGUCUGCGAAAUCGUGAGAGCUCGGUAUGUGUCAACUGGCCCAAGACGUAGCACUUUUAUUUUUUUGGUUUAACUCGUGUCGCAAUGAACUCUCUUAUGCUAAUAUCAGUAAGUUUCAAUUCCAGUUGGGGAACUGCUGCGCAUAUUGUUUUCCUCGUCUUCUGCUUCAUGACCAACAUAAUCGUCACUGCCAUGUUGCUUCUCGGUGGCUCUGCUGUUGUAAAUGCUCUGACCGGAAUGAACAUAUAUGCCGCUAGCUUCCUGAUCCCCCUCGGAGUGAUUGUCUACACAUUGGCCGGAGGCCUAAAAGCCACCUUCUUGGCGAGCUACAUACAUUCUGUUAUAGGUAUUUUGCUGCAUAAGCUUCGUAGUUUUCACGUAAGCUGUAUUGAUGUGGAAUGCAAGCACUAACUGGGUGAUGUUUUCACUUACAGUGCACGUGGUUUUAGUAAUCUUCGUCUACUUGGUAUACACAGCAAGCCACGAGCUCGGCAGCCCCAGCGUCGUUUACAGACAUCUCUUGGAGGUAGCGAGCAAAUCAAGAUCAUGUCAGGAGCCGAUUUCCCACAGCGGGCAAUCUUGCGGUCCAGUUAAUGGGAACUAUGGUGGAUCUUACUUGACAAUGUUAAGCUCUGGAGGGCUCGUGUUCGGUAUUAUCAACAUUGCCGGCAACUUUGGUACCGUCUUUGUCGACAAUGUGAGUUUCAUCACUGAGAAUGGUCUGUUCGGCCGUAUGUGGGCAUAAAUUUUUCCCUUUCAUUAACCACAAUGUUACGUUUUGACUGGAACAUUGCAGGGAUACUGGGUGAGUGCCAUAGCUGCGAGACCCUCAUCGACACACAAGGGCUAUUUGUUAGGCGGACUGGUGUGGUUUGCUGUGCCGUUCUCGCUCGCCACAUCCCUCGGUCUAGGAGCACUUGCACUCGAUUUGCCAAUUACAGCAAGUGAAGCAAGCCAUGGACUUGUUCCCCCAGCGACAGUUAUUGCUUUGAUGGGGAAAGGGGGAGCUGUCCUCCUCCUCACUAUGCUCUUCAUGUAAGUUCUGCAUCUGUCAAUACUUCUGUAAGGGACACAAAUUAAACAGGACGAUUUUAUCAUUUGAUUCGCAUUUGUUGGGCAGAAAAAUGGUACAUAACUAAGAUCAAACAGCGAACUUAGAAUUGCUCUGUUCUUAUGAGUCAGGGCCGUGACAUCCGCUGGUUCCUCCGAACUAAUAGCGGUGUCUUCAUUGUGCACAUAUGACAUCUACCGCACUUACAUCAAUCCAAACGCAAGCGGGAAGAAGAUCCUCCAGGUUUCAAGGGGCAUCAUCCUUGGGUUCGGGUGCUUCAUGGGAGUGCUUGCGGUGAUCUUGAACAAGGCUGGAGUCUCACUCGGCUGGAUGUACCUUGUGACGGGAGUGAUCGUUGGCUCAGCUGUCAUUCCCAUUGCGUUCAUGCUCCUCUGGAGGAAAGCAAAUGCGCUCGGUGCGAUUCUCGGGACGAUCUGUGGGUGCAUCCUGGGAAUCAUAACUUGGUUGGUGGUCACGAGCGUGGAGUAUGGCCAGGUAAAUCUGGACACCACAGGGAGGAAUGCGCCGAUGCUCGCGGGGAAUCUCGUCUCGAUUCUUACUGGCGGGGCAAUCCAUGCCAUCUGUAGCUUCCUGUGGCCUCAAAACUAUGAUUGGGAAACCACUAAGGAGAUCACCAUGGUCGAAAAGGAUAAGACCGACCUGCUGUCGGAGGAGUUCAAGGAAGAGAAGCUGAUGAGGGCGAAGGCAUGGAUCGUGAGAUGGGGCGUUGGGUUCACCCUCGUCAUCGUCGUGUUAUGGCCAGUUCUCUCGCUCCCAGCAAGUAAGUCAAACUCCUAAGCCUUAGACUGCCUGACAAAUUGCAGGCGACAUUUUAUGUCUGCUUUUUCUGAAACUUUCUUGUUGCUUUGCUUGUCUGCAGGGGAGUUCAGUAGAGGGUAUUUUACAUUCUGGGCUGUCAUUGCGAUAGCGUGGGGAACCAUCGGCUCUGCGGUCAUCAUCGCCCUGCCGGUGAUUGAGAGCUGGCAGACUAUCCAGAGCGUCUGUGUCGGCAUGUUCACAAACGACAGGCUCAUGGAAAAGAUCCAAGAGCUCAACAUGAAGUUACAGGCGGUCGUAUCAGCAAUACCUGAAGCAGAGAGAUUGUAUCUCCUCGAGGUGGAAAAGACCAAGAAACUGGAUGCUGGUGAGCAACAAGUCCCGCCUGCUUAGCUCGCUCGACGUGAGUUGUCAACGUGAAAAUCUUUAGGGGGUGUGAAAUUUGUGCAGAAAAGAAGAAAUAGGGUGAACUUGCCUUUUCUUUUUGGUCAUGUCAUGUCACUCUUCGUGCUUGUAAAGGAGCAUGCUUUGGGCAAGAAAAGCAAGUGGCUCGGAGGACACAAUCUGUAAUUUUCCCCACGUAAAUGUUCCUGAUCUCAAUGAAAUGGAAUUAAAGUUGUCGAUCGUCUCUGCUGACAUUCAUUUCAUUUUACAAGUUACCACUCACUUUCAGGAAUAUAGGGAAACUUUUUUGCAGCAUUAGGCCCUACAGUCAUUGAUCACAGAUAACUCAACUUGCCCUCAUUAACCACUCGUAGCCAUAAUAAAUCAGGUUCUCAAGAGCCUCCUCCUGCUGAACGGAAAUGCCAUGGACCGCCUCAAAUCGAUUCUGUAAAUGCAAUUGAAGCCUGUUUCUUUCACAUUGUAGGUGGCUGCUUGCGCUGUGUAUGCCUAGAGCUACACUCGCGACAGGAAUUCAGAAACAUAACCCCGUGGGUGUGGCCUUCUCAGAAGCCUGCUCUCGAUACCUAUGAACGAUUAUACAUGUACAGAACAUGAAACCUUCCAUGAAAGUCCAUCUUUUCCUCUUGCUCAUAGUGAACCGGGUCUUUUCCUCACACUAUCUUGGUCCCUUCAAAGCGGAAAAGACAUUGCUUUCCUACAGAGCGACUUGCUUUCGCAAUCACCAAACCAAUCACAAGUCCAUUUCCAGAACACGCGAUAUCAUUCACUCCUGAGCUGUGACCGACCCCCUACUGCCACCCAUUAGCCUCCAAGACAGCCAAGGACGCAAACAUUAAAGAUACAUCCUUGCGCUGGUACACUGGGAAUUGACAACUUAAGAAUUCAACAACUACCCAUCAUCAAAGUUCUCAUCAUCUCCCAACAACCUUCCUAACUUUCUUCGAGCAAUAAAAACAUAUGCAGGAUAUGAAGCAACCAUCGAUGUCAUCGUGUAAAGUCACUUUCCAAGAAAAUACUCUCAGCUAUAACCUCUGCCAUUGUGAAUAACACAUUCCCUAAUCGAAUGAAACAAAGAGGGUUCGAAAUCACUUGCCCAUAAAGCUAUGCCUCAUUCCUAAUGUCAUUCUACUGGAACGACUCAACCCAAACAUUCAUACAUGGAAUCACAUUUGUUCCAUCACUUGCUCUAAAACUGUGAAGCUGGCAACGAGAGAUUCACCAUGUUCAAACAUGGAGCUACAUUUGUGCUACCACUUUACUUUUAUGCGACAUUCACCAUUACAAACACUAUAUGUCAGGCAACACAUCCAUCAAAUUCCAGAAAAUAGCUCGCAUCUGCGGAUCAGAAAUUUCUGAAUAGACCUUCCAUUUUCGAGAACUUGCUACAGGCAAGACACACAAAAAGUGAAGUGCGAGGAAUAUAACGAAAGUUGCUGGGACACAUGAAAUUCUGAAAAGUAAUAAAAAGAGCGAUCACAUAGUGUUCUUAAUUCUCAUAUUACGAGUUUCAAACACAGCAAUAAUGAAGCCCCUAGAGGAUAGAUAGAGUCACAGACAUCAAGCAGAGACACCAGCUUCUUCCAACAGCUGCUUCACCUUUGUGAUGUAAUCGUUCAUUGCUUCGUCCGCCGAUUUCCCUGCCAACAAGCAAAAAUAUCAAUCUUAGAAAUAGCAAAGUCCAACACAAAUCAUUUAAAAAAAAAAAAAAAGGAAGUUGCAAGAUAAGUGCUACUAUUUUAUGUUUCUACCUUCAACAGCCUUCCAUGCAUCCCACUUCGCCCGAUCCUUCAUGUUGAACAUUCCAGGGCGACCUGCAAGUAACGUGAAACAGGCAUUAGUUAUCUCGGAGAUGGAUUUGGUUGAGCAACAAAGCGUUGAAGCAUGACAAGUUGCAAAUCCAAAACCCAUUAGAUGAGGGUGAGUUACUGACUGGUGUUCACCGGUCCAACCGUGGCUUGCUUGUAAAGCCCAUAGAGGAUGAGCUUGCUCUCAUUGGUUGUACUCUCUGGCAAGGUCUUGGCUUUCUCAGCAUAUUCCUCAAAGUCCUCCUGCAUAAACCAACUAGGUGAUGACGUUAACAAGGAUGACACUAAAAGUACACAUCGACUUCCUCAAAGCUCUAUAAAAGCACAGAAGAAGAGAACAACUGACAAGUCCGCAAAGUUAAUAAAAGAAGUACGAAAACCAACAUGAAUUAAAUAAAGUAAAACGUUUACUAUGCGGUCACCACAAAAAAGAAAAAGAAGAAGAUAAAAAGCGCAUGAUAUUCUGAAGAAGAAUGGUAUUUUAGGCAACACAUGGAACGGAGAUGCCUGUGCACAAAAUAAGUCGCGAAACAGCUUUCCCAUUGAAAUUUAGAGAGUGCAAGGGAAGAUACAAGAGAUCAUUUGCUUCUGAAUGCAAAUCUAAAAAGUGUAAAACGUACAGAUUCAUCACUGGAGGAGCCUGGACUGAUACAUAAGGAUCAUCCCACUCAACCUUAGCAACAGGAUGUACCUUUAAACGUUGCACUUAAAGAAGGCAAUAACUGAAAAGGCCGAUCUGCCCAGUAAAAUUCAAUUCAAUCUCCUCAUUUUCUUUCCUUAGACUUAAGACUACGCCAAUUAUGAAUCUAUCUCUUCAAAGAUACUUCGUUAAAGCACAAAGAGGAUUACUCCCUCUUGCACGCGCAUUAGUAGCUAACUAGUGGAGCCCAUUGAGCAGUUCUGGCAGCAGCUAUUUACAAUCAAACCGACAUAAAGCUACAGAUUCACUCACAUCAAGAAAAGAUCACACUAAUCGCAUGGUGGAUAAAACAGAUACCCACAAGAGCAAAUCCAGGAUAAUGAACCGAAAAAUCCGUAAAGAAACUAAAUUUAAAAAUUGCACAUCAUGGGUUUCUCCGCAAGUCGAAGCAAGGACACGCGAUCUGUUAAAAAACCAAACUUCAGCUCAAUCAAGAACCGAUCUGAUGCACCCAAUAAAGAACAACGCGCGGAGAAAAAAGGGAAAGAAAGAUCCGACCCUUUAUUCAGCUCAGGUAAAUCAAACACCCC
Molecule: long non-coding RNA, 29811 nt
Filed under: Eucalyptus grandis
Lineage: Eukaryota; Viridiplantae; Streptophyta; Magnoliopsida; Myrtales; Myrtaceae
Description: long non-coding RNA (EGRA_LNC002660)
Source: RNAcentral